This 76-nucleotide transfer RNA is filed under the name Gammaproteobacteria bacterium RIFCSPHIGHO2_12_FULL_41_15. Its description in RNAcentral is "tRNA-Thr". It matches the Rfam family "tRNA". From Rfam's summary of the family: Transfer RNA (tRNA) molecules are approximately 80 nucleotides in length. Their secondary structure includes four short double-helical elements and three loops (D, anti-codon, and T loops). The record is from RNAcentral. Lineage: Bacteria; Pseudomonadati; Pseudomonadota; Gammaproteobacteria.
GCUGGCGUAGCUCAGUAGGCAGAGCAGCUGAUUUGUAAUCAGCAGGUCGUGAGUUCGAAUCCCACCGCCAGCACCA